Molecule: ribosomal RNA, 1276 nt
Filed under: metagenome
Description: SSU rRNA
Rfam family: Eukaryotic small subunit ribosomal RNA
Source: RNAcentral
AUACCGGUCCUUUCACGGUCUGGUAAUUGGAAUGAGAACAAUUUAAAUCCCUUAACGAGGAUCCAUUGGAGAGCAAGUCUGGUGCCAGCAGCCGCGGUAACACCAGCUCCAAUAGCGUAUAUUAAAGUUGUUGCAGUUAAAAAGCUCGUAGUUGGAUAUCUGGCAUUGACACCUGGCCCGUUUCCUACAUGGGAGACGUUGUGCUGGUUGCUGUCUUUGCCAUCCUUCUGGAGAAUGUUUCUGCUCUUCAUUGAGUGGGGACAUAAUCUAGAUCAUUUACUUUGAAAAAAUUAGAGUGUUCAAAGCAGGCUUUUAUGCAUUUGAAUACAUUAGCAUGGAAUAAUAAAAUAGGACUUUGGUUCUAUUUUGUUGGUUUCUAGGACCAAAGUAAUGAUUGAUAGGGAUAGUUGGGGGUGCUUGUAUUGGACGGCCAGAGGUGAAAUUCUUGGAUUCGUUCAAGACAAACAACUGCGAAAGCAUUCACCAAGGAUGUCUUCUUUAAUCAAGAACGAAAGUUGGGGGAUCGAAGACGAUCAGAUACCGUCGUAGUCCUAACCAUAAACUAUGCCGACUGAGGAUCAGUGGAUGUUGUUUAAAUGACUCCAUUGGCACUCUAUGAGAAAUCUAAGUCUUUGGGUUCCGGGGGGAGUAUGGUCGCAAGGCUGAAACUUAAAGGAAUUGACGGAAGGGCACCACCAGGAGUGGAGCCUGCGGCUUAAUUUGACACAACACGGGAAAACUUACCAGUCCGACAUAGUUAGGAUUGACAGAUUGCAGAUCUUUCUUGAUUCUAUGGGUGGUGGUGCAUGGCCGUUCUUAGUUGGUGGAGUGAUUUGUCUGGUUAAUUCCGUUAACGAACGAGACCUCAGCCUACUAAAUAGUCGCGCGAACAUUCGUGUUCGUAGUUCGACUUCUUAGAGGGACUGUCUGUUUCUAACAGAAGGAAGUUUGAGGCAAUAACAGGUCUGUGAUGCCCUUAGAUGUUCUGGGCUGCACGCGCGCUACACUGUUGCAUUCAACAAGCAAUUCAUCCCUUGGCCGACAGGUCUGGGUAAUCUUUGAAAAUGCAACGUGCUGGGGCUAGAGUAUUGCAAUUAUUACUCUUAAACGAGGAAUUCCUAGUAAACGCGAGUCAUCAGCUCGCAUUGAUUACGUCCCUGCCCUUUGUACACACCGCCCGUCGCUCCUACCGAUUGAAUGAUCCGGUGAAAUCUUUGGACCGUGACUCUUUGUUGGCUUUGCUGGCUUUGCGUCUUCGGGAAGUUGAUUAAACCUU